GUCGGUUUCAGGUCUCCACAGAAUGGAGCGAGAAUGAACAGAGAGCGGCUUAGGAAAAAGCAUGAACUGGAGGUCUAUUGAGGUCAUCUGCUUCCUGUUUAUAUGGAAUCAUAUAACAGUUUGGUCUUCACGCCCGGACCCGUCGGCCAAUGAGCAGCACGUCACCAAGCAGUAUGAUUGGCUCAUCUCCGACCGCGGUCCUUUCCACCACUCACGGAGUUACCUCUCCUUUGUGGAAAGAUUCCGCCAAGGAUUUACUACCAGAUAUAAAAUUUAUAGGUAAGUCCUGCAUUGGAAGGUGAGGA
This is a long non-coding RNA of Gadus macrocephalus (Pacific cod), 305 nucleotides long. RefSeq lists it as uncharacterized. NCBI's taxonomy places the organism in Eukaryota, Metazoa, Chordata, Actinopteri, Gadiformes, Gadidae. The record is from RefSeq and is a predicted model, not a curated record. The transcript is spliced from 3 exons.